This 459-nucleotide ribosomal RNA is filed under the name Salmonella enterica. RNAcentral describes it as "bacterial SSU rRNA". It matches the Rfam family "Bacterial small subunit ribosomal RNA", at positions 1 to 456 of the family's 1533-position model. Lineage: Bacteria; Pseudomonadati; Pseudomonadota; Gammaproteobacteria; Enterobacterales; Enterobacteriaceae. The record is from RNAcentral.
AAAUUGAAGAGUUUGAUCAUGGCUCAGAUUGAACGCUGGCGGCAGGCCUAACACAUGCAAGUCGAACGGUAACAGGAAGCAGCUUGCUGCUUUGCUGACGAGUGGCGGACGGGUGAGUAAUGUCUGGGAAACUGCCUGAUGGAGGGGGAUAACUACUGGAAACGGUGGCUAAUACCGCAUAACGUCGCAAGACCAAAGAGGGGGACCUUCGGGCCUCUUGCCAUCAGAUGUGCCCGGAUGGGAUUAGCUUGUUGGUGAGGUAACGGCUCACCAAGGCGACGAUCCCUAGCUGGUCUGAGAGGAUGACCAGCCACACUGGAACUGAGACACGGUCCAGACUCCUACGGGAGGCAGCAGUGGGGAAUAUUGCACAAUGGGCGCAAGCCUGAUGCAGCCAUGCCGCGUGUAUGAAGAAGGCCUUCGGGUUGUAAAGUACUUUCAGCGGGGAGGAAGGUGUUG